AGAUUGAACGCUGGCGGCAGGCUUAACACAUGCAAGUCGAGCGCCUCGCAAGAGGAGCGGCAGACGGGUGAGUAACGCGUGGGAAUCUACCCAUCCUUACGGAACAACUCCGGGAAACUGGAGCUAAUACCGUAUACGCCCUUAGGGGGAAGAUUUAUCGAGGAUGGAUGAGCCCGCGUUGGAUUAGCUAGUUGGUGGGGUAAAGGCCUACCAAGGCGACGAUCCAUAGCUGGUCUGAGAGGAUGAUCAGCCACAUUGGGACUGAGACACGGCCCAAACUCCUACGGGAGGCAGCAGUGGGGAAUAUUGGACAAUGGGCGCAAGCCUGAUCCAGCCAUGCCGCGUGAGUGAUGAAGGCCCUAGGGUUGUAAAGCUCUUUCACCGGAGAAGAUAAUGACGGUAUCCGGAGAAGAAGCCCCGGCUAACUUCGCGCCAGCAGCCGC
RNAcentral lists this ribosomal RNA (443 nucleotides) under uncultured bacterium. Its description in RNAcentral is "SSU rRNA". It matches the Rfam family "Bacterial small subunit ribosomal RNA", at positions 26 to 518 of the family's 1533-position model. The record is from RNAcentral.